UCCGGUAUGGUCUAGUGGUUGGGAUACCUGGCUCUCACCCAGGAGGCUUGGGUUUAAUUCCCGGUAGUGGGA
Molecule: non-coding RNA, 72 nt
Organism: Dryococelus australis
Lineage: Eukaryota; Metazoa; Arthropoda; Insecta; Phasmatodea; Phasmatidae
Source: the annotation of a GenBank genome assembly